Molecule: long non-coding RNA, 801 nt
Organism: Calypte anna (Anna's hummingbird)
Lineage: Eukaryota; Metazoa; Chordata; Aves; Apodiformes; Trochilidae
Exons: 4
Source: RefSeq, a predicted model, not a curated record
CUCCCCAGAGACCGUCCUUGGCCGCGGCCGCGGCUUCCUGAGCUCUGGCAAUGGCGGCUGAGGGGCUUGUGUGGGGCAGCCGGAGAGGCGGGCUGAGGGUGCUUGGUAAGAUCUCGGAAGACUGCUGUGUGUUCCCCAACAGUCUGUAAUGUGAUCCGAGGGACAGACAGAAGCCUCCUUCAAACAUCUUUGAGACCUGCUCCUACUGAGUGCACUCUCUCUCCUGGAGGGUAUUCUAACUGAAGUUGUAGAGGUUUCUUCUACUACAUGAAGUGUUGCAUUUUUCUGAUUUGUAAGUAGGUCUAGAAAGUUGUUGUCUACAAAAGUUAUCCGUUCCAUCAUGUACAUUAAGUGGUGGUGAAAACAUGUAAAAGGAGUUCCAUGCUCAAGAGCAAUGUCAACCCAGUCCUGGAUGCACUUCAAAGGUGUCUCUUCAUAGCCUGCAAACAUAGCUGGAUUGGCUAAGAGUCCUCUGGCCACCAUUAUACCUUCAAAUUGGAAAUUAAAGCAAUAAGUUUCAUUAUAGUUGAAAUUCCACAUUAAAACCUCCUGCAGAUUUUGGAUAGCACCUUAGGACACCCAGCCAAAGCUUACAGACACGUAUUAGAAGAAUAACAAAGAUGAGUAUUAUUACUUAAGAAAUUAACAAUCCAAACCUCAGAGAACCUACACCACCUUUCAACACAUUCCACCUAAUGACUUAUCCUUCAAGAAAGUUUGAAACAAAGCACAGGACACAGAAGCCUUUCUUCCCUAUUGAAACUGCAACUUGAUAAUAUUUUGUUUGUAUUUGCUGCACAC